This is a long non-coding RNA of Phragmites australis (common reed), 1143 nucleotides long. RefSeq lists it as uncharacterized. Lineage: Eukaryota; Viridiplantae; Streptophyta; Magnoliopsida; Poales; Poaceae. The transcript is spliced from 3 exons. The record is from RefSeq and is a predicted model, not a curated record.
CCCCAUUCCUUCGUCACCUCCGACGAGCAAAAUGCGCCCUAAUGCCCCGUUCGUUUCUCACCUCAAACAGGAGAUUCGGCUAGCUUACAUCCAAUGGCACAUUUAGACCGCCUCGGAAGUGUUCCUCUGUGCUAAUCAGCGUGCAUUUUAAGCUAGGGUUUGGGGCGUCAGGAGUCAGGACGGAGGCAAUGGAGUCGAUUUGCGCCGCGAUAAAGGUUGGGAGCCAUUUGCAGCUACAAUGGAGGCCGCAGAGAGUGCCUGCUCUGUUGUGCCUAUGGAAACCCAUGCACUUGUUGAUGCCUUUUCAUCGGCAGAAGUGAGUUCUACUAUGAACACAUCAGAUGGUUUCAGCACACCAGUUUAAAGUUGGAGCGCCCCGUUUUGUGUUUCAUCAUGUACACCGGAAUGUGAUUUGGAUGAAAAACCAGCCGUAGGGAUGAAGUUUAAUGACCUGGGGGCUGCAGAGCAGUUUUAUAGAACAUAUGCAAAGAUUUGCGUUUUUGAUGUCCGAAUAGGACAUAGUAGAAAGUCUGGCGGUGUCGUGGUUUGGAAGAGGCUUUACUGCUCUAAGGAGGGCUACCAAUCUAAGGAAGAGCAAGGUAAGCAAAUUGUGGGUAUCAGUAAACAGAAGCGUAACACAGAAAUCAGAAGGUGUGGGUGUGAGGCACAGGUUACUUUCAAAAAGUGUGCAGAUAACCAGUUCAUUAUCAGUAAGAUUGAGGAAAAGCAUGCACAUGCACUUGCUUCACCCCACAAGAAACAAUUUCUGAAGGGGAAUAGAGAAGUUAGUGACCAGGCUAAGAAUGCAUUAUUCACAUGCCACAAGGCUAGCAUUGGGACGUCAGAUGCUUACCGUUUGCUCCGUGUUAGUGAAGGGGGUUUUGAGUUUGCAGGAUGCACAAAGAAAGAUAUGGAAAAUUAUAACCGGGACCUAAGAAGGGCAAUAAAUUCAGCGGAUGCAGAAAUGUUUGUUGAGAAUCUAUAUAGGAAGAAGGAUGCAAACCCUGGUUUUUUCUUUGACUAUGUCUUGCAUGAGAAGAGGUUGGUGGCCGCAUUUUGGGCUGAUAGUACUUACAGGAAAAACUAUGCACAUUUUGGGGAUGUUGUCUCUUUUGAUUCAACAUAUAACACAAACCAGUAUGA